AGAAUCAGCCUGAGCUGCUCAGAGUGACUCGGAGUGGGGGUCCCAACAUGGCCCUCAGGUAGGGAGGAGGCCAGCCCCCAAGUUGUGUUGCAGCCCGGGCGCUGUGUGUGGGGCAGGGCCCGCGUGCAGUGCAGGCCCCGGACCGGCCUGGCUGGCCGACCGUGCUUGGGCCUGGCGUGGAGUGAAGACUCCUGAUCGGAAUCCAGUUUCCUCCUAGGAGGGAGCUGGCAGUGCUGAGCCCAGCCCUCACUCCUGCUCUGUCAGAGGGCACCUCGUGCCACUCUCUAAGGCUUGCUCACUGAUGGGCCCUGGUUCCAUCCUCCCAGCCUCCCUCUGAGGAGGGUACUUUCCAGCUCUGAGAGGCUGAGUUCCCUGGUGAACGUCACCAGCAGAGCCCACACUGGACAGUGCUCCCAUCAGCAUCUCAGACCCCUUAGCUCCGCUCGCCCCAGGCCUGGCGUCAGCCUGGCCUAUGAACCCACGUCCCAAGCACUAGCAGAGGGCUUCAGCAGGUUCUGGGGGCUGCCUUUUCCCAUCACACCGUGGAGGUGGAAGGGAUUCUAACUCUGAGCCUGGGAUUUCCACAGGGAGCUGGAAAGGCAGCACUUGGCCCUCCUGUUCUGCUGUAGCCGUCUCCUAGGUACCUGGGGUGUGUCAGGCGUGUGCAGGUGAAGUGUCCACGGCGGGAAGACGGCAGGAAAGGGCAGUGGCCCCUGCCCUGGGGGAGGUCGGGGGUGGGAGUCACAGCAGGUGAUGUCUGAGCCAGGACUUGAAGGACCAACAGGACUGAGUUGAGGGAAAAGGAGAAAGGACACAGUAGGAGAAAAACCCUAGGGUUUAAAAUUGUGGAGAAAACCCACACUGUCAGCACUGGGUUGGAGCUGACCAGGCAGAGGUAGCGGUGGAAGCUCCCCGCAGGCUCGCUGGGAGGUGAUGACUGCUGAAGGUGAGCUCAGACUAAACUGCGGAAAGCCUGGAGGUGCCCUGGGCGGAGGCUGGCUGAGGAUGGCCUCAGAGUGGGGUGAGGACCACCUUCUCGUUCCCUCGGCCAUUUGUGGAGCUGGCUUGAGCCUCUAGGCCUUUCACCGUCUCAGAGGCUGGGGUUCUCAAGGGGAAAUGCAGUGUUGUUGCCUGGUGGGCUCUGGAUUCGAGUCCUUGCCCCUUGUGUAUUGGCUGAGUGUCUGGGCAGGCCCCCUGGGCACAAGUGACCUCAUCGGUUUGUCGUGAGGAGGAAGUGACGUGGUAGGUGGGGGUGCCCGGCACAGAGCCCGGCACGUUCAGCACACUCGCGUGACCUCCUGCUUGGUGGGUCGGAGGUCAGGCAAGGCUCUCAGAGACAAAGGGAGAGCAGCGGCAGCCCUUGGGGGGCUCUCGCUGGCAGAGUAGCCUGGCCGUCAUCCUGACUGGGGGGGUGGUCUAGAGGGGCACAGACUCGAAGAAGGUAGUGCCGACCUGAGGAAACGAAUGUCACGGCUAGAAGAAGAGCUGGACCAGGAGAAGAAGAAGUACACGAUGCUGGAAAUAAAGCUGCGGAACUCGGAGCGGGCGCGGGAGGACGCGGAGAAGAGGAACCAGCUGCUGCAGAAGGAAAUGGAGGAGUUUUUUUCAACCCUGGGAAGCCUGACCAUUGGGGCCAAAGGUGCCAGAGCCCCACAGUAAAGGAAUGGGGGGAACUCGCUUCGUGCCUCGUGGCGCACCCUCCCGUCGGCAGGGAGGAGGAGCCAGAGCCUCUGCAGCUGGGACCUGGGCCUCUGUGGUGCCCAGAGAUGCAGAGCCGGCUGGAGAGGGAAGUCCUGACACACACCACCCCAGCCCUGGGAUGCUGGGGGGCACCGUCGGGAGCCCGAGCUCCGCACGGGGUCUGGAUGCAGCUCUGACCACGCAGGCUGUGGCAGGCAUCAGAGGGGACAGUCCCGUGGCCACCGAAACAGACGGCACCCGGGAUCUGAGUAGCCCCCUGGGAACCUUUUGCAUUCUUUAUUAAAUCUGCUCUGAAAGCAUGAUGUCUGGA
This is a non-coding RNA of Vicugna pacos (alpaca), 2011 nucleotides long. NCBI's taxonomy places the organism in Eukaryota, Metazoa, Chordata, Mammalia, Artiodactyla, Camelidae. The record is from RefSeq and is a predicted model, not a curated record.